UAGGGAAUCUUCGGCAAUGGGGGGAACCCUGACCGAGCAACGCCGCGUGAGUGAAGAAGGUUUUCGGAUCGUAAAGCUCUGUUGUUAAGGAAGAACGAGUGUGAGAAUGGAAAGUUCAUGCUGUGACGGUACUUAACCAGAAAGGGACGGCUAACUACGUGCCAGCAGCCGCGGUAAUACGUAGGUCCCGAGCGUUGUCCGGAAUUAUUGGGCGUAAAGCGCGCGCAGGUGGUUUAGAAAGUCUGAUGUGAAAGCCCACGGCUCAACCGUGGAGGGUCAUUGGAAAAUAAUAAACUUGAGUGCAGGAGAGAAAAGUGGAAUUCCUAGUGUAGCGGUGAAAUGCGUAGAGAUUAGGAGGAACACCGGUGGCGAAAGCGGCUUUUUGGCCUGCAACUGACACUGAGGCGCGAAAGCGUGGGGAGCAAACAGG
RNAcentral lists this ribosomal RNA (430 nucleotides) under Verrucomicrobiota bacterium. Its description in RNAcentral is "Verrucomicrobia bacterium partial 16S ribosomal RNA". It matches the Rfam family "Bacterial small subunit ribosomal RNA", at positions 355 to 776 of the family's 1533-position model. Lineage: Bacteria; Pseudomonadati; Verrucomicrobiota. The record is from RNAcentral.